AUUGAACGCUGGCGGCAGGCCUAACACAUGCAAGUCGAGCGGAUGAAGGGAGCUUGCUCCUGGAUGCAGCGGCGGACGGGUGAGUAAGGCCUAGGAAUCUGCCUGGUAGUGGGGGAUAACGUCCGGAAACGGGCGCUAAUACCGCAUACGUCCUGAGGGAGAAAGUGGGGAUCUUCGGACCUCACGCUAUCAGAUGAGCCUAGGUCGGAUUAGCUAGUUGGUGGGGUAAAGGCGUACCAAGGCGACGAUCCGUAACUGGUCUGAGAGGAUGAUCAGUCACACUGGAACUGAGACACGGUCCAGACUCCUACGGGAGGCAGCAGUGGGGAAUAUUGGACAAUGGGCGAAAGCCUGAUCCAGCCAUGCCGCGUGUGUGAAGAAGGUCUUCGGAUUGUAAAGCACUUUAAGUUGGGAGGAAGGGCAGUAAGUUAAUACCUUGCUGUUUUGACGUUACCAACAGAAUAAGCACCGGCUAACUUCGUG
This 483-nucleotide ribosomal RNA is filed under the name uncultured bacterium. RNAcentral's name for it is "partial 16S ribosomal RNA". It matches the Rfam family "Bacterial small subunit ribosomal RNA", at positions 30 to 507 of the family's 1533-position model. The record is from RNAcentral.